UCACUUUGUGCACGAUAUAUAGAUACUCAAAAUAACAUUAUAAAAGAGAUGUUUCUACAAUUUAUCCCAGUUUCAAGCAUGACUGGGUCUGCCUUAGCUGAUGUAAUAUUUGACAAUCUUGAAAAAUUCAAACUUAAUAUAAAUUUGAUACGUGGGCAAGGGUAUGAUGGAGCUCGUGCAAUAAGUGGGCAAUUCAAUGGGCUUCAAGCAUUUAUAAAAAAAAAUGCCCAACAGCUAUAUAUGUCCAUUGUGCUGCUCAUUCCCUCAACCUGGCAAUAUCUAAUGCAUGUUCUUUGCCAUUGAUAUCAAAUUGCUUAGGCAAAAUAUCUAGCAUCUAUGAAAUGUUUAGAUAUCCCAAGAGACAAAAUAUUUUGAACAGAAUUAUUUCUGAAACUCCUUGUCCAACAAGGAGGAAAAAAUUGCAAAAAGCUUGUCCAACAAGAUGGAGCCUUCGCCAUCAAGCUGUGACAUCUUUUAUGGAGUUAGAAGAACCAAUUAUUAACGCUCUUACCGAAAUAUCACAAUGGUCUGAGAGAGAUAUUUCUACAGAGGCUAGCAAAUUAUUAGAUUCCAUACUUAUACCAAAUUUUUUUUUCUCAUUACAAUGUAUUAAUAAAUUAUUUAAUUAUACUACAAUUUUAUGCAAUACUUUUCAAAAACUCGAUAUUGACUUGAUUGAGAUGAUGAGAAUA
Gordionus sp. m RMFG-2023 is the source of this 692-nucleotide long non-coding RNA. RefSeq lists it as uncharacterized. The record is from RefSeq and is a predicted model, not a curated record. Lineage: Eukaryota; Metazoa; Nematomorpha; Gordioida; Chordodea; Parachordodidae. The transcript has 3 exons.